This 259-nucleotide ribosomal RNA is filed under the name uncultured bacterium. RNAcentral's name for it is "partial 16S ribosomal RNA". It matches the Rfam family "Bacterial small subunit ribosomal RNA", at positions 524 to 777 of the family's 1533-position model. The record is from RNAcentral.
UACGUAGGGUGCGAGCGUUUGUCCGGGAAUUAUUGGGCGUUAAAGGGCUCGUAGGCGGUCUGUCACGUCGGGAGUGAAAACACGGGGCUUAACCCCGUGCCUGCUUCCGAUACGGGCAGACUAGAGGUAUGCAGGGGAGAACGGAAUUCCUGGUGUAGCGGUGAAAUGCGCAGAUAUCAGGAGGAACACCGGUGGCGAAGGCGGUUCUCUGGGCAUUACCUGACGCUGGAGGAAGCGAAAGUGUGGGGAGCGAACAGGA